UUUUGGCCCGCAUCAAAUUUUAAUUUAUCUUUCCACGUCAGUUUUUUCCCCAACCCUAAUUCCUCCUUUGUCAACUUUUUUUCCGCUUCCUCCUUCGUCGCAACGCAGCCGCCGAAGAGUCCUCCUUCCUCCUUCGUCGAAGAGUCCUCCUUCCUCCUUUGUCGCGACGCACCCGCCGCGAGGAAAACCCACCGGCGCCUUCCCUCGUCGUGCCCCCUGCGAUUCCUCGCCGCCGAGCCCGAAGCUAGGGUUCCGCCCCUUCCUCCUUCGUCGCCACGCAAUCGCCGAAGAGGACAUCAUGCCCCUCGCAGGUCCACGUCAAAUUUUUUGGCCCGCAUCAAAUUUUAAUUUAUCUUUCCGCAUCAUUUUUUUCCCAGCCCUAACUUCCCUCCUUCGUCGCGAAGCACUCCUUCCUCCUUCGUCGCGACGCACCCGCCGAAGAGGAUAACCCACAGGCGCCUUCCUCCUUCGUCGCGAAACAUCUAAGGUUCCUGAUCAGCAAAGCGACGGUUGCGCUUGAAUGGCAUCAUCAAGUAGCAGCAGUAUCAACCAUACCAAAAAUGAAACUGUACGAUGCAGGGACUGCGGACUAAGAGCAUUGGUGCUAGUCUCUAGAUCGAUCAAGAACCCAGGAAGACUAUAUUAUGGAUGUAAGCAUCAUGGAUAGUUAAAGUGGGUGAGGUCUGAUAUUGGACUAAAUGAAGACACUAAUGAUAUACAUUUUAGGAUGUUGCCAAGAGUGGAGUCAAGGGUGGGAAGUGAACACAUUACUUAUCCUAGACACAAUAUGAGAAAUUGGAAUAUACCGCUUUUGGUAUGGAUAUUAGUGAUAGUGAACUUAAUUCUUUUGGCUAUAUAUUUGUUUUGUUUGUUGGUUGGCCUAGUCAAAUAGUACUAGUGUUGUAAUAUGAUAAAGAAAUGUAAUUAUGGAUGAUGUCGACAUUUGUUUUUUUUAUUUAUGGAUGAAUAUUAAUUUUGUGUUUUGAUUA
This is a long non-coding RNA of Zingiber officinale, 989 nucleotides long. RefSeq lists it as uncharacterized. The transcript has 2 exons. NCBI's taxonomy places the organism in Eukaryota, Viridiplantae, Streptophyta, Magnoliopsida, Zingiberales, Zingiberaceae. The record is from RefSeq and is a predicted model, not a curated record.